CGCUUUGGCUGAAUUAGUGAUCGGCUGAAGCAUUACUUAAACAAUUGGAGUUUAUUAUGUCACUAAGCAAUCAAGAAAAAGCAGAAAUCGUAGCAAAAUUCGCACGCGCAGAA
This is a regulatory RNA element of Pseudoalteromonas rubra, 113 nucleotides long. It matches the Rfam family "Ribosomal S15 leader". From Rfam's summary of the family: The E. coli Ribosomal S15 gene 5' UTR can form two alternative structures. One that is a series of three hairpins, The other includes a pseudoknot. Lineage: Bacteria; Pseudomonadati; Pseudomonadota; Gammaproteobacteria; Alteromonadales; Pseudoalteromonadaceae. The record is from Rfam.